Molecule: ribosomal RNA, 501 nt
Filed under: uncultured Glomeromycotina
Lineage: Eukaryota; Fungi; Glomeromycota
Description: partial small subunit ribosomal RNA
Rfam family: Eukaryotic small subunit ribosomal RNA
Source: RNAcentral
CCAAUAGCGUAUAUUAAAGUUGUUGCAGUUAAAAAGCUCGUAGUUGAAUUUCGAGAUCAGUACGCUGGUCGUGCCUUCGGUAUGCACUGGUGUCACUGGUUUCUCCCUUCUGAAGAACUGUCAUGUCAUUAAGUUGGUGUGGCGGGGAAUCAGGACUGUUACUUUGAAAAAAUUAGAGUGUUUAAAGCAGGCUCGCGCUUGAAUACAUUAGCAUGGAAUAAUGAAAUAGGACGUUUGACCCUAUUUUGUUGGUUUCUAGGAUCGACGUAAUGAUUAAUAGGGAUAGUUGGGGGCAUUAGUAUUCAAUUGUCAGAGGUGAAAUUCUUGGAUUUAUUGAAGACUAACUACUGCGAAAGCAUUUGCCAAGGAUGUUUUCAUUAAUCAAGAACGAAAGUUAGGGGAUCGAAGACGAUCAGAUACCGUCGUAGUCUUAACCAUAAACUAUGCCGACUAGGGAUCGGAUGAUGUUAAUUUUUUAAUGACUCAUUCGGCGCCUUACGG